UCCUCUCAAAGCCUACUUGAGCUCGCAAGGUAUAACAGCUCCUAUAAUGUUUAGCUCAGCUUUAGCUCUAGCUUUACACACGCCCAUCAACAUCUUUCUUGUAAAAGCCAAGGGUCUUGAGGGCGUGUCCAUGGCUAUAUGGAUAACCGAUCUUAUAAUUGUUAUUUUACUAGCUUCAUACGUGUUGCUGAAGGAAAAUGGUAAGGGAGGGAAGUGGAAUGAGGGAGGAUGGCUAGACCAAGGCGUUUAUGACUGGCUCAGGUUGCUAAAGCUGUCUGGACCAUGUUGCCUUACCACCUG
Molecule: unclassified non-coding RNA, 300 nt
Filed under: Hevea brasiliensis (rubber tree)
Lineage: Eukaryota; Viridiplantae; Streptophyta; Magnoliopsida; Malpighiales; Euphorbiaceae
Source: RNAcentral